UGCACGUAGAUUCAGUUUUGUGGCGCAUGCGUCACGUCCUCGCUGGCUCGCUUCUCGUUGUUGGACAGCCUGUUUGUCGACACGUGUCCCUCAUGUAACGUAACUAAUUUCUACAGUGGCAUGUUGUUUGUGCGGAUUUGACAUCUGAACGGGUCAGAAUAUCAACGAUGAUUCAGACGAAGAGCAGCAAAGAGGCCCAGUGUCCAGGACGAACCGGAGGCCAACCGCUGGUCAUGUGACUGUGGAUGACAGAAGGUUUUGCAGUGAACCAGAUUCUCCGGCGCUGCCAUGCCAUUAGAAAAUCUGCAGACCCCAGCAAUGUAAGCAGACCAUAAACACCCCCUCAAGUGAAGGAGCUCUACCAGUGACCACUGUCACACACACGACAUAGGCAAAUAAACUCAGCUCUCCAGUUUCAGUCAUGGACAUUUUCAGCUGACUCUACAGUUUCAGCUCACGACGUCCUCCA
Molecule: long non-coding RNA, 469 nt
Organism: Anguilla anguilla (European eel)
Lineage: Eukaryota; Metazoa; Chordata; Actinopteri; Anguilliformes; Anguillidae
Exons: 3
Source: RefSeq, a predicted model, not a curated record